ACUCCCCAUUUGUUUUGACAGACUGGAGGUCCCCAGAUGAUCUAGAGAGCCAACUAAUGAGAAGUUGAGGAAUGGCUCCCAAGAACACACUCUACUGACAACUGACCUGAUGAGUUUAACCCCAAAAUGCAGGACCAGACAUAGCAUCAUGAUAGGUCAUGUCCUGAGACUUCUGACAUCAGAACUACAUUUGUAGAGGAGAAAAAAAUGAGUGGCCUGAAUCCUGACUGCUGAGAGAGUCAUGGGAGCACCUGUCACCAUGGAAGGAACUGAAAAGCAGGCAGGAGAGAGGUUUCCCAGAUUCUCUGCUUUCUUGUUCCCUGUGAAAUGUGUCACUUCUUUCAUUUUGAAGAAUCUAGGGAUAUGGCAUUAAAUUGGUACGAAGUGUGAUAGAGUAGAAAGUUGUACAGCGCAAAAUGAAUGCUAUUUCUUCAAGUCUGUUUAACCUUUGGAAUUCUAGCGAGGUGCUGAGAGGUACUGCCAUCACAGCAUGCCUAUCAAUCAGAUAGGUGGAAAAUUACUAUGCUCUCUGGCUAUUUUCUCAGAAAAAGAAUUACAUUGUGUUUUCAUUAAUACCAUAUUCUUUAAGAAAUUGUAAUUAUUCCAGAUGUGAUGUAAAAGCCAUGUGUAUGCAUAUAUACAUACAUAUACACACACCCACACACGCAUAUCACACACAUAUACACGUAUAAACACACCCUAAAAUUUAAACUAAAGUCCUUAGAGAUUGAGAAUUCAUUGAUUGAGUGAUUGAUCUGGUUGAUUAAAUAAAUA
Acinonyx jubatus (cheetah) is the source of this 774-nucleotide long non-coding RNA. RefSeq lists it as uncharacterized. The transcript is spliced from 3 exons. NCBI's taxonomy places the organism in Eukaryota, Metazoa, Chordata, Mammalia, Carnivora, Felidae. The record is from RefSeq and is a predicted model, not a curated record.